UUAAAAUUUGUAUCCGUUUAUAAAAAAUAUUAUAUAUACGUUUGUAAUAAUUGAAGAUAUUUGUAUACCGGUACGCGCCGGUUUUAUCGUUUAUUUUAUAUAAAAAAACAGACCAGCUUUUUAAACUGGCGUUUUAAAUUCCGUUAAUAAGUAUAUAUUAAUCGCGGUCGUUAUUUAUAAAAUGCGCGUUGCGAUGGAAUUUAUAAUAUUAUAACGUAUUAUAAAAUAAUAAGCAAACCCGGGCCGGUAUUAUACAAUUAAAGGUUUUGGAAUAAUUUGCGUUUCGGCGAUACCGUUAUUUAUAAUAUUUCCGCGAUAAUUAAUAUUAUCGAAAUUUCCGUUUAUAAUAUUUGCAUUUUUCUUUAUAAAUCCGCGAUCAUUUGCUAUAAAUCCUGGAACGCGACGCCCGGUAUUUGGACGGCGAUCCUUUCCAUAAAUAGCGAACAUACUAUUUAUAUAAAAGAAAAUAAACAAUAACAAAUACUAUAAAAUCAAUAAACGGUUAUAUAACGGCUGGAUACCCGAGAACAAUCAUUCUUAUUAUGAAGAGGAAUAAAAAAGAAAGAGGUACGGAAAAUAUUUUGCCGAUUUUCCUUCUCUUAUAUAUAACGGAGAUUAUUACGUAAUCCCCGCUGCUAUUUAAUUAUAAGAAUACGUGCAAUUAAUACAAAUUUGUAACACGGUUUCAUAUAAUAUAAAUAAUACGUAUUAUACUUGGACAAUAAAUAAUUCUUUACCGAUUAUAUCCCUGGUUAAGUAGUUAAAAAUUGGUAUUAAAAACUACCAUAUUAGUUUUAUUAGUAUUGGGAUUAUUAAAAUAUAAACCCGAUAUAAUAUUAAAAUUAACGAAUUUAAAAACGUGUCAUAUACUUUCUUAGUUUGAAUUAAAUAUUAUUAAUAGGUAAACAUAUUAUAAUAUAAAAGGCGUAUUGUUAAAAAAUACCUUACAAAAUCGAAAUUGCAAAACGUGAAAACGUUAAAAUAUCGUUAAAAAUUUGUUAUAUUUAGAAAUAAAAAAUGUGAUACUUUUAUUUAAAAUAUAUUUACGGUUUCGAAUUCCGUUUAUAUAAUCGGUAUAUAUAAUACCGUUUUAACCUAACUUUCCAAAAGAAUGAUAAAAUUAUUACGCAACCCCGUCGAAAGUAAAAUUGAAUAAUUUAAUCCCUAAAGACCAAAAUAAUUAUAAAACUUAUGCCGAUUUGAAACCGGAAAAAAACACGGUAACAGAGAAAUUAAAUUCCGAACAAGAUAAAAAUAUAGCCGUAAAUCUUUUAAUAAUGCAAAUAUUUAUAUAAUUGGAACCCUGUUAAUUUAACAAACUAAUAAAUAAUCUUCUUACGCAGUUAAAUUUAAAAAGAAUUAUGCCGGAAAAAGGAAAUUUUUGUUAUAAAGAAUCUGUUGUUGAAUUUUUUCUUAUAACCGGAUUUAAUAUAAACCCUUAUAAAUCUUUUCUUUAAAUUUAAAUCGAAUUACCAACAGUUUUAUUACAAUUAAAAGAAACGGAAUUAUAAACAAUUAUAACAAAAUCCAGGUCUAGAAUACCUUGUUAUAUUAUAGGCGUUUGGGGUUUCUAAAAUUAUUAUUAUUUACGAAAACCGUGAAAAGCGCAAAUAAUUUAUUUCAAUUUUGACAAAAUUGAAAUUAUUAAUUAUAUUAUUUGCAUUAAACCCAUUUAUAUUAGGCGUGUAAGCAAAUUCGCAUUUUCCAUAUAACCUAAUAAUUUUAAAUUUAUUAAAGGUAGUAUAAUACUUCUUACCUAAUUUUUACAAUAAAAAAUUUAUAUUUUAAUUUUUAAUAAAUGAAAAAUUACGUUUUCGGCGGUUAAUCACCUUACGAAAUUAAACGGGAUUUAUAAUUUUAAUAGUUAUAAAAUAAAUUUUUUAAAAUUUUAAAAAUAACGUACGGACGUUACCCCACUAAUUUUUAUUUUCAUGGGGUUAUAAAAUUAAUAUAAAAUUCCAAAAUUGUUUUGUUAAUAAAAACUUUAAUUGUAAUAUUUCCGAUUUUUACAACCACGGCCAAAAUCUGUUAACGGAACGGUCCGUGAGGGUUAUAUAAAAUAAAUUUGAAUUUAUUAUUAUAAAAGCAGGUUUGUUUUUAUAAUUAUAAUGUUAUUUAUUAUUAAAUGCAAUUAUUUUCAUUAACCGUGUAGUGGUAAUAAACAGGAAAGUAAGAUUUUACAAGGAAUUUUAUACCGAAUCUCGAUUGAAAUUAUUAUAUAACCGUAAUUUAAACUCUUUUUGGGCUAUUAAUACCUUAUAUUAAAUUAUUGUACCGUUGGAAAAACGCUAAAAAUUUAACAAAUUGGUUUCCCGAAUACAAAUAGUAAAAGUUUUAAAGUAUUUAUUUAAUUUUAUAACGUUGCCUUAUGCGUUUAUUAGGCGGACCGUAAAUAAACUUUUACGGUAAAGUUUUUACAAGGUAUAUCCGUAAAGAAUUUGGUUAUGUCACGUUCGUGUGACAAAGCCUUAUAAUUGGGACCGACGAGGUAUUUGCUAAGUGCAGGUACUGCAGGAUCUUUUAAUCCAUUUGUCGUAUUUGUUAGAUCGUCGGGCAGAUACGUGACAGGUUAUUUUAGGGCAAAGGCAUUAAAUUGAAAAAGAGAAUUCCAAUUUAAAAGGGAGAAUUUUAAUUUCAAGUUUAAAAAUAGAAUUUAUAGCGUUAGAAAUUUGAAUUUAACAAAGGAUUAUUUUCAACUAUCCGUUACAGGGCGUUUAACCCCUAUUAAUAUAAUAUUUUCCAAAUUCCGACAGUUUAUUAUUUGCGCCCAAAAUUUAUAAUCGUAACGUUAUUUUAUUAAGCAUUUAGAAUAACGGAGAUUCUGGUAUUAUCUGCAUUUAAAAUAUAAAAUAUAAAAUUAAAUUCGCAAUUCGAAACCCCAAAUCCAAUAGAGAUUAAUUACCUGCAUUAUUCUUAUUUCUUUUACCCAAACAAAAAUAAAAACCUAUUAAAAACAGUUAAUUAAAUAAUUAUUAAACGGCCUUAAAACUUUGCAAAAUGCUAAAUAACUAGCAAUAUUAACGUUGGAGCUCGGUUGAAUUGAUUGUGCAAGAGCUUUGAAUUUCAUAUUUAAAAUUAAAUUGCCUAGAGGAAAAAAAUUAAUUUUAACCCGGCUCGGAUUUAAAUUUAAAAAAUAAAUA
This 3140-nucleotide small RNA is filed under the name Pyricularia oryzae. Its description in RNAcentral is "Magnaporthe oryzae sRNA M_BR32_EuGene_00098681". The record is from RNAcentral. Lineage: Eukaryota; Fungi; Ascomycota; Sordariomycetes; Magnaporthales; Pyriculariaceae.